Molecule: long non-coding RNA, 4603 nt
Filed under: Homo sapiens (human)
Lineage: Eukaryota; Metazoa; Chordata; Mammalia; Primates; Hominidae
Description: HSALNT0180229
Source: RNAcentral
CUUUCUAUUAAGAUUUAUGGGAAACUUAAGCAUGCUAUGAAUACGAGUAUAGACUAAAGUAAUUGAAAGAAAAAUGUACAUAAGAGAUUAAAGGAAAGUGACUCAUUAUUGUCUUUAAGAAGAAUUCAGGAAUCAGAUAAUUAAUAUUUUAUAUUAAACAAUCGAAGACUAUCGUUUUCUUCCCUCAGAGACAAACAGCAGUUACUAGCAGUUUUUAUUUGCCAAAAGUCAGACGAUGAAAACCUCGUAGCAGAGAGCUGAUUUUUCUCUUUUCAUGCAGUUGUCCCCUGUGGUGUAGGUGACCUUAUCAUAAAGUCUUCUGCUUUUUCAGCCACUAGUGUUGUGGUCUAUGUAAGUGGAAAAUUAGUCUGGGUACCUCGAGGAAAUAAAAAGCAGACUUCCAACCUGUACUGCUCUGAUUACACUGUCUUGCAUGGCCUACUUUGUCAACUAUGUCGCUUCUCAAGGUUAAUACCUGCUUCUUCAGGAAUAAUACCAUAUGCCUGAUGGAAAUUCAUCUGUUUCAAUCCAGUUUACAGACCUAAACAUUCAUCAGUAAGGUAAGGAUGAGUCAUCGCCAACCACCAUGAAUGAUGCCAGACAAGGUGGGGAAAUCUCUCCUGGAACUGUGGCUAACACAAGAAAAACAUAUUAUUCAAGUCGACUUAUCAAUGAUUUAAGGUGCCUUUCAAUACACCUAUGAAUACCCUACCCCUUGAGCCUUCUACUUGGGGAUCUCUGACCAUGGUGAUGAGGUAAGUCUUCCAUUGGAUUUGAGCUUAUACUUUUUUUGUCAAAUUUCCCAAUGCUUCUAGGAAAGAAGAUAAGUUUUUAAGGAAUACUUGGAUUAGCUUGUACUAAUCCAAGCUAAGGAUUAAGGAACGCUUUGGAAAAGUUUUAAGGAACACUUUGGAAAGCCUUCAUCUUUGUGGAAUACUGCUUUAUUGCCAACAAUAGUACUAUUUAACUCUGCCUAUGUUCUUCGUUUCCUACAAGUGUAAGUCCAUAUAGAGAAGAGGGCAGACAUAGGUUCCUAUAAGUUUGUUUUUGAGUCAGCUUCGAAUGGCCAAUGAGUUCAAAGUAAGGCCCGCUGAAUCAGCCUCUUCAUAAGACAAAUGUUGUGUUACAUCUCAUAUCAAAAACCUUGAGAGCUUUUUUUUUCUCUCUGUGAAAGUCUGGUUUGAGAGAAAUCUUCUCUUCAAACAGCCACCCAGCCCUUCAGGAAACACCAGAUUACCAGGUUUGUCAUGAACAGCCAGCCAUUAGGUUGAGGGCUAAAGACAAGUUGCACAAGCAAUAAGUUGUGAUUCCAGACUCUCAAGGGUUUGUCCCAGUCCUAGUUCUUGCAUCCUGAAGACUAAACUCCUGCAUCUUACAUGUAUUUAUAUUAAUAUCCAAAUAUUUGUAUUUAUUUAUUUUCUAAAUGGCAUGCUUUCCAAGGAUAACAGAAUUACAGCGGCCACUUGAGGAACUUCAGAUACAGCAAAAUUAUUCAUCUAAAAAGUACAUUAGAAUAAGAUGGAACAAACAUCCAAUAUCUGCUUAUUUGAUUGAUAUAUUAUUUUGGAGGGAAUGAGGAAGUUUCCAACAGAAAUAUAGGAUCCAAAAUUACUUUCUUAAAAUAUUCCUUGGAUAAGGCAAAUAAAAAAAUUUCAAAACUUAAAACUCUCACUUAGGUGCUCCCAAAUCACAACUUAAGCCUAAUGGUUUUAUCUUGUUAGGCUUCUGCCCUCAUUAUAUCAUCCUCUAUUACCUGCUGCCCUUGCUCCUCUUUCUGACCUGUUUUACUUCUAUUGUGACCAUUCAGAAACUCCCAAAGUUCAAUUACAUCUUAAACACCCUUCAGAAAAGGGAAAUAUCCUUGUGGCAAAAACUUUACAAAAUCAAAGACAACAAAGAGAAGUAGAGAAAACAAUUUGGAAUAAUUCAAAGAAUCUAUAGACCAGGGAUCCCACAGCUGUAUCAAUCAGCUCAUAUGUUCCAAGAAACCUCAGAUGUGAAUGCAAAAAAAGAAAAAAACAUAUAUAUUGAAAAGACAGAAUAAGAAGAUCCAGAAGAUGACUUAAAAGACCCAAAGUUGCAUAAGACCCCAGAAGAAUUUAGAAAAAGAAUGUACAUUUGGCAUGACUGUUUAGUUGUUAUUUUUUUCUUUCCUAUGAAAGUCGAUUGAACUUGAUUUCAGGCUAUCAGCAAAAAAUUAGUUCACUGGAGAAUUUAGGAGUAGGCUCUUCAAAAACUUUUGACAUAUAGGAGUAGAUUCUAAACAGAAAUAAUCUCAGCUCUGUCAUUACUUUUUUAGAAUGACCAUAUGCCACAAAUAGAGGCUUCAAAGCAUAGCAAAUUGGUCCUAAACUUUUUGUCACACAAAUAGAAAGAUUAUUGUACAUUGACUAAAUGUAUUGGCACAUAAGAGGGAGUAGAGGUGGGGUCAUAGAGGAAUAUUAGUCUAAAAGUAGGAUGACGGGCCCUGUAUGUCAAGCUCUGGAGCUGAGAUUUCACUGUGUACUAGAGUCAAAUUUUAAUAAAGUUUAAUUUGUAGUUGCUGCAAUUGUGGUAUGUAAGAUAUCAUUAGAUAUAAGAAUUAGAAAAGUUUCUUUUAUUAUAGCAUUACAGACAGAUUGAAAAAGUCUGAGACUAGGCUCACAGAACACAUAGAAUCAACAUGACUCAGGAACAUUCCCCCUAAAUUAUCAUCAUGUCUAUUACAUGUAUCAAUACUUUCCACUCUUCAUCCAAGUCAACCCAUCCAACAUGUAACCACUAGAUGUCUUUCAGAGGUGAGAGUUUGGCCACAUUAACUACUCUUUCAAAAAUGUUCCCAAUUUAUUAGCACUUUAAUGAAAUUAAAACUCCUAAAAAUACAGUCAUGUUUCACGAAAUGAUAGGGAUAUGUUCUUAGAAAUGCAUUAAGCAAUUUCAGUGUUGUAUGCACAAACCUAAAUCUUAUACACUAUUAUGUACCUGCGCUAUAUAGCCUAUUGCUCCUGGGCCACAAAACUGAACAGCAUGUUACUGUACCGAAUACUGUAGACAGUUAUAACACAUUAAGUAUUUGUAUUAUAAUAAAAUAUACCUAGACAUAGAAAAAGCACAAUAAAAAUAGCACGUUAUAAUCUUAUGGGAUGACCAUAUAUAUGUGGUCUGUCAUUGGCUGAAAUGUUACAUGGAGCAUAGCUGUACUUUUCAAGAUUUUUUACCAUUUUGCUCAGCAAAGUUCAUGCAUUUAUACCAUGUAUGUUAUCUCUCUGUGUGUAUAUAUAUGUAAACAUAUGUUACAUAUACACACACAUUUAUACCAUUAAUAUGUAACAUGCAUACAAUAUCCUUACAUAUAACCAUACAUCUCCCAGUCAAUAUCAUACACUUUGUUCUGCCAUGCUAAACCACUAUUUACAACUUCACAACUGCCUUAGCAUAACUACUCUUGCCAAAUUCUGUGCCUUUGUUUAUUGUAUUUUCUCUACUGAACUACACUUUCUUUAAUCUUCAACAUUAAAAUGUAAUUCAUCCUUUAAGAAUAGUCAGAGCUAACUAUUCCCAUUAUGCUUCUCUAACACUCCUAGUGAUAAUAUAUUGUUUCCCUAUUAUUGUGGGACUACUUCUAUCAUGGCUUGCCUGUCCACUACGAGUUCUGAAAGAAUAAACACUUCCUUAUGUCUUUAUAUAAACUACAAUCCCUGAAAAAAGAGACUACUUCUUAGUACACUUCGAUGAAUUAAUGAAUCAAGAGCAAACGGAUGGAUUGACUGAUACCUAAUCAUUUGUGUAAAGUUUUCCUUCUCUCCUUCAUUAGAUGAUAAGUCAGUGAUUCUCUCAGCAAAUAUUUUACUUCUUAUGUAAUGGUUUCCUUACAAUACACAGUACAAUGCUCUCAACGCAGUGGGUAAUCAAUACCUGCUGUUGACUGUUGAAGUAAAAUAAAUUUACAAAAAUAAACCAAGCUUGUUUCUAGUAAUGGAAGUCCCCUUGGUGAUUUUUGUCAUGUAAAAUGAAAUCACCGCAGAAAAAUUUAUGAAUGAUAUGCUGAGUAUCCCAAAUAAAUGCUGUACUUUCAGACAUAAGCACCAUUGGCUGCAGUCGUUAUAGAUAAUGAAAAUUAAGCAGGUCUCAAAGGGGAGAAAAUUUUGGAUGGCAUUAACGAUUCAGUUAUUUGCUUCUUUUCCUUUGGGACCAACUAAACUGAUGCCAUUACAUUGAAUUAAACUAAGUUGUAAAAUUAGAAAUGCCUUUCUUGAAAUACAUUAUAAAAAGAAGAUCCACCUUAUAAUUAGAAAGGAUAAUAUGAUGAGGGAGAAAAGUACACAUCUCCUGAAACAGCUUCUAGUAAUGUGGUUGAAGUCAGCAAAUUAUUAAUUUGCUAAAUUAUAGGGAUUCUUUUACUUCCUCUUCCUAUAAGUAAUUUGGCCAUGUUAAUUGAUGCUAUUCUGAACUUGAGGCUGAUACAACUCAAAUAAUGCAAGUAUUAUGUAAUAUACAUGUAUGCUUAUGAUGAUAUUAAUAUACACAUUAAUACGCAAAUACAUAUGUAGGACAUUAAUGUAUACAUAUGCAUACAUAAUAGUAACAUACAUAAUAAUUGUUAUAGACUGAGCUGAAUUUAAAA